GCACGAAGCAGAUGACCUCCCCACCCUGCACAAGGUUGGUACAGCGGGCAUCGCAGUGCAGGUGGUGGGCAGUAACUGGCCAAAGCCACACUACACCCUCCUCAUCACUGGACUGUGUCGCUUCAGUGUGACGAGUCUGUUGAAGGAACGACCCUUCGUACUCGCAGAGGUGGAGCAGUUGGAUAAACUGGAGCAGUACACAUCACCAUCAGACAGUGUCCCACAGAAGAUGGAGAACUAGGGGAACUUUCUCAGAAGUUUUAUCAGGCUGCGCUACAGUUGUUGGGUAUGUUGGACAUGUCUGUUCCAGUUGUGGCCAAGUUCCGCCGUCUUCUGGACAGCCUGCCCAGGGAAACGCUUCCAGAUGUGGUGGCGUCCAUGAUCCGCACCUCCAACAAGGAGAAACUGCAGGUCUUAGAUGCUGUG
Sphaeramia orbicularis (orbiculate cardinalfish) is the source of this 426-nucleotide long non-coding RNA. RefSeq lists it as uncharacterized. The transcript is spliced from 5 exons. The record is from RefSeq and is a predicted model, not a curated record. NCBI's taxonomy places the organism in Eukaryota, Metazoa, Chordata, Actinopteri, Kurtiformes, Apogonidae.